CCCACGCUAGCUCAGCCUGGUAGAGCUUCCGGCUGUAGUGGUUGGCCAUCGGCUAACCGUCAUUCAGCCUAUCAGGCUUACAGAAACCGGGUUGUCGCAGGUUCAAAUCCUGCGCGUGGGACCA
Molecule: transfer RNA, 124 nt
Filed under: Nitrosotalea devaniterrae
Lineage: Archaea; Thermoproteati; Nitrososphaerota; Nitrososphaeria; Nitrosotaleales; Nitrosotaleaceae
Description: Candidatus Nitrosotalea devanaterra Pseudo tRNA
Rfam family: tRNA
About the family: Transfer RNA (tRNA) molecules are approximately 80 nucleotides in length. Their secondary structure includes four short double-helical elements and three loops (D, anti-codon, and T loops).
Source: RNAcentral